This 374-nucleotide ribosomal RNA is filed under the name uncultured bacterium. Its description in RNAcentral is "bacterial SSU rRNA". It matches the Rfam family "Bacterial small subunit ribosomal RNA", at positions 524 to 898 of the family's 1533-position model. The record is from RNAcentral.
UACGUAGGGGGCAAGCGUUGUCCGGAUUUACUGGGUGUAAAGGGUGCUCAGGCGGAUCUGUAAGUCAGUGGUGAAAUCCCGGAGCUUAACUCCGGAACUGCCAUUGAUACUGCAGGCCUCGAGUUCGGGAGAGGUUGAUGGAAUAUCUGGUGUAGCAGUGAAAUGCGUAGAUAUCAGAUAGAACACCAAUGGCGAAGGCAGUCAACUGGCCCGAUACUGACGCUAAAGCACGAAAGUGUGGGGAGCAAACAGGAUUAGAUACCCUGGUAGUCCACACCCUAAACGAUGAGUACUAGACGUUGAGCCUUUUAAGGCCCAGUGUCUGAGCUAACGCAUUAAGUACUCCACCUGGGAAGUACGAUCGCAAGGUUGAA